Molecule: transfer-messenger RNA, 313 nt
Filed under: Candidatus Karelsulcia muelleri
Lineage: Bacteria; Pseudomonadati; Bacteroidota; Flavobacteriia; Flavobacteriales
Also listed under: 1 other name
Description: Candidatus Sulcia muelleri ssrA RNA
Rfam family: transfer-messenger RNA
About the family: Bacterial tmRNA, also known as 10Sa RNA or SsrA, is named for its dual tRNA and mRNA-like properties. Its role is to liberate the mRNA from a stalled ribosome.
Source: RNAcentral
GGGGCUGUAUUGGAAUUGACAUCUUGAUUAAUAUAUAAGUAAGCAUAUCGUGUAUAUGAAUCACGUAUUAAAAUUUCAUUAAAAUCUAUAAACGGCAAAAAAAAUUACGCUCUUGCUGCUUAAUCCUCUUUAAAAUCUAAGAAUAGGAAAGAUUGAGGUUCUAAAUCUUUCUAAGAACUAAGAACUAGAUUCUAAGUUAUAGAUUCUUAUCUCUAAACUUAGAAUUAAUUUGAAUUUGAUAAGAUAAAUAUGUAGAAAACUUAUAAUAUUACUUGUUUGGACACGGGUUCGAAUCCCGUCAGCUCCACAAAAA